GUUUUGACUGUUUUUCUUAAAAUGUAUAGAUCAUUCCUUAUAUUUUCUCCACCCACUUUGUUGUUCUGCAUGAGAUUCUCUCUCUCACUCCUCAAAUGCAGUUCAAGGAAGGCCAGAAGUUCUGAGUGGGUUUUUGGCAAAGCGUUUUUGGGGGAGCUGUUACUCUGUUAAGUUUGCUCUAUACAAUGAAAAUUAAUAAUGAAAUUGCUUACACCGAUGACACAGGAAUCCAUUAUCCACACUCAUUACCAAAUACCUAGGUUGUAUCUACUCAGAGGUCCCAUUCUUCUGCUAUGAGGUCAGCAUUGACAUUCAGCAAACCUGAGACCAACACGGCUACCAAGUACACCCCUGAAACAUGGAAGAUGCCGAAUUUUAGCCGAUUUUGGAUUUUAAACUUCAUUGCAGAACAACAAGGAAGUUGUUUUUUUGCCUCCCUGCCUGCCAUCUGACACCUCCAGGGAAAGAAUUCUACCUGAUCAACACAUCAAAGAGCUGAUCAACACAGCUCACAAAGACACUCAUGGACCUAGAGGGACAGAUUUCCAUCUUCAGCUCCCUCUGUGCAAAAAUGAAGCUUAUUUCCUACCUAUGGGGACUUUUUACCAUCUUGUAGCAUUUACACUUUUCCCAGAGCCUGACAAAGGGACUUUGAUCCUGAAAGCUUGCAGAAAAGGACAA
This is a long non-coding RNA of Alligator mississippiensis (American alligator), 681 nucleotides long. RefSeq lists it as uncharacterized. The record is from RefSeq and is a predicted model, not a curated record. The transcript has 3 exons. Lineage: Eukaryota; Metazoa; Chordata; Crocodylia; Alligatoridae.